GAUGAACGCUGGCGGCGUGCCUAAUACAUGCAAGUCGAGCGAACAGACGAGGAGCUUGCUCCUCUGACGUUAGCCGAGGACGGGUGAGUCACAUGUGGAUACCCUACCUAUAAGACGGGGAUAACUUCGGGAAACCGGAGCUAAUACCGGAUAAUAUCUUGAACCGUGUGGUUCAAUAGUGAGAGACGGUUUUGCUGGCAGUUAUAGAUGGAUCCGCGCCGCAUUAGCUAGUUGGUAAGGUAAAGGCUUACCAAGGCGACGAUGCGUAACCGACCUGAGAGGGUGAUCGGCCACACUGGAAGUGAGACGCGGUCCAGACUCCUACGGGACGCCGCAGUAGCGAAUCUGCCGCAAUGGGCGAGAGCCUUACGGAGCAACGCCGCGUGAGUGAUGAAGGUCUUCGGAUCGGAAAACUCUGUUAUUGGGGAAGAACAAAUGUGUAAGUAACUAUGCACGGCUUGACGGUACCUGAUCAGAAAGCCACGGCUAACUACGUG
RNAcentral lists this ribosomal RNA (497 nucleotides) under uncultured bacterium. RNAcentral describes it as "partial 16S ribosomal RNA". It matches the Rfam family "Bacterial small subunit ribosomal RNA", at positions 28 to 507 of the family's 1533-position model. The record is from RNAcentral.